UCCUGCAUGAGCUUGACAAAUUCUUGGCAUAAAUCUUCAUUAGUAGACCUAAAUAUAAUAUCAUCAACAUUUAUCUGUAUAACUAGAAUUUCUUUGUCUUUUCUUUUUAUAAAUAGAGUUGUAUCAACUUUUUCUCUCUACAAUUUUAUUUUAUUGUGGUGUUCUAGGUGCUAAAAAAUUAUGAUCUAUGCCUUUUUCAUCAUAAAAUUUUUCAAAUUCUUUAUUUUCAAAUGUAGUGUCAUGGUCACUACGAAUAGAAACAAUUGAUAAAU
This 272-nucleotide long non-coding RNA is filed under the name Elaeis guineensis (African oil palm). RNAcentral's name for it is "long non-coding RNA (EGUI_LNC058043)". The record is from RNAcentral. Lineage: Eukaryota; Viridiplantae; Streptophyta; Magnoliopsida; Arecales; Arecaceae.